GAUGAAGAACGUAGUGAAAUGCGAUACUUGGUGUGAAUUGCAGAAUCCCGUGAACCAUCGAGUCUUUGAACGCAAGUUGCGCCCGAAGCCAUUAGGCCGAGGGCACGCCUGCCUGGGCGUCACACGUCGUUGCCCCCCAUCUACUCCUUCGGGAUUGCGGGGGGCGGAUGAUGGCCUCCCGUGCGCCUCGUCGCGCGGUUGGCAUAAAUGCCAAGUCCUCGGCGACGCACGCCACGACAAUCGGUGGUUGCGAAACCUCGGUUGCCCGUCGUGUGCGGUCGUCGCGCAUCGAGGGCUCGAAAAAAUUGUCGGGCUCCGGCUCGGCUUUCAACGCGACCCCAGGUCAGGCGGGGUUACCCGCUGAGUUUAAGCAUAUCAAUAAGCGGAGGA
Molecule: unclassified non-coding RNA, 390 nt
Filed under: soil metagenome
Description: partial contains 5.8S ribosomal RNA, internal transcribed spacer 2, and large subunit ribosomal RNA
Rfam family: 5.8S ribosomal RNA (bases 1-122)
Source: RNAcentral